GACAGAGGGUGCAAACGUUGCUCGGAAUCACUGGGCGUAAAGGGCGCGUAGGCGGCCACCGCAAGUCAGUUGUGAAAGCUCUGGGCUUAACCCAGAAAGGUCAACUGAUACUGCGGGGCUAGAGUGCAGAAGGGGCAACUGGAAUUCUCGGUGUAGCGGUGAAAUGCGUAGAUAUCGAGAGGAACACCUGCGGCGAAGGCGGGUUGCUGGGCUGACACUGACGCUGAUGCGCGAAAGCCAGGGGAGCGAACGGG
Molecule: ribosomal RNA, 254 nt
Filed under: uncultured bacterium
Lineage: Bacteria
Description: partial 16S ribosomal RNA
Rfam family: Bacterial small subunit ribosomal RNA
Source: RNAcentral